RNAcentral lists this ribosomal RNA (390 nucleotides) under Triticum aestivum (bread wheat). Its description in RNAcentral is "partial small subunit ribosomal RNA". Lineage: Eukaryota; Viridiplantae; Streptophyta; Magnoliopsida; Poales; Poaceae. The record is from RNAcentral.
AUGUGUGCUAUGCAGGGCCAAGCAAAAAAAAAGGAGAGGAAAGGUAAAAAGAAGGGAGGGGAUGAGAAAGCUGAAAGUGCUCGAAAAGAGAUCAUAGGGAAAAAGAGGGGUAAUCCUUUUGGGGUUCCACCAACAGGGAGUGACCAAAUUUUUUCUGUUGAGAGGGAAAUGGAUAGCUAUGAGCGUGUGCUGUAUGGUGACAUGAGUGUUUCUUCCAAGAGAAUCUAUAUGGGUAGAGUUGACACUGUGAGGGAUGGGGAUGAUAUAGUCACACAUGUAGCAAAGGAAACAGAGGAGGAGGAGGAGGCAUACAUGCAACAGAGGAGGGAGUCGGUUGGAGAUGAUGGCACAUCGGCGGCCUCCGAGGUGGAGGACCGCCGGGCCAAAUGA